RNAcentral lists this transfer RNA (74 nucleotides) under Actinomadura sp. WMMB 499. Its description in RNAcentral is "tRNA-Asp". It matches the Rfam family "tRNA". Rfam says of the family: Transfer RNA (tRNA) molecules are approximately 80 nucleotides in length. Their secondary structure includes four short double-helical elements and three loops (D, anti-codon, and T loops). Lineage: Bacteria; Bacillati; Actinomycetota; Actinomycetes; Streptosporangiales; Thermomonosporaceae. RNAcentral also lists the same sequence under 1 other name. The record is from RNAcentral.
GGAUCUGUAGCUCAGAAGAGUAGAGCGCCGCCCUGUCACGGCGGAGGUCGCCGGUUCGAGUCCGGUCAGGUUCG